This 446-nucleotide ribosomal RNA is filed under the name uncultured bacterium. RNAcentral's name for it is "bacterial SSU rRNA". It matches the Rfam family "Bacterial small subunit ribosomal RNA", at positions 329 to 792 of the family's 1533-position model. The record is from RNAcentral.
UCCCAGACUCCUACGGGAGGCAGCAGUGGGGAAUAUUGCACAAUGGGGGAAACCCUGAUGCAGCGACGCCGCGUGAAGGAAGAAGUAUUUCGGUAUGUAAACUUCUAUCAGCAGGGAAGAAAAUGACGGUACCUGACUAAGAAGCCCCGGCUAACUACGUGCCAGCAGCCGCGGUAAUACGUAGGGGGCAAGCGUUAUCCGGAUUUACUGGGUGUAAAGGGAGCGUAGGCGGCGAUGCAAGUCAGAAGUGAAAGCCCGGGGCUCAACUCCGGGACUGCUUUUGAAACUGUGUUGCUAGAUUGCAGGAGAGGUAAGUGGAAUUCCUAGUGUAGCGGUGAAAUGCGUAGAUAUUAGGAGGAACACCAGUGGCGAAGGCGGCCUGCUGGACGACAACUGACGGUGAGGCGCGAAAGCGUGGGGAGCAAACAGGAUUAGAUACCCGAGUA